This 274-nucleotide ribosomal RNA is filed under the name uncultured bacterium. RNAcentral describes it as "partial 16S ribosomal RNA". It matches the Rfam family "Bacterial small subunit ribosomal RNA", at positions 523 to 796 of the family's 1533-position model. The record is from RNAcentral.
CUACGGAGGGUGCAAGCGUUACUCGGAAUCACUGGGCGUAAAGCGCGCGCAGGCGGCUAUUUAAGUUGGAUGUGAAAGCCUACGGCUCAACCGUAGAACUGCAUCCAAAACUAUUUAGCUAGAGUUUGGGAGAGGAAGAUGGAAUUAGUUGUGUAGGGGUAAAAUCCGUAGAGAUAACUAGGAAUACCAAAAGCGAAGGCAAUCUUCUGGAACACUACUGACGCUGAGGCGCGAAAGCGUGGGGUGCAAACAGGAUUAGAAACCCUAGUAGUCC